Molecule: ribosomal RNA, 807 nt
Filed under: uncultured bacterium
Lineage: Bacteria
Description: bacterial SSU rRNA
Rfam family: Bacterial small subunit ribosomal RNA
Source: RNAcentral
UAAUGACGUUGGGACAGCGAGCGGCGGAUGGGUGAGUAACACGUGGGGAACCUGCCCCUAAGUCUGGGAUACCAUUUGGAAACAGGUGCUAAUACCGGAUAAUAAAGCGGAUCGCAUGAUCAGCUUUUGAAAGGCGGCGUAAGCUGUCGCUAAGGGAUGGCCCCGCGGUGCAUUAGCUAGUUGGUAAGGUAACGGCUUACCAAGGCGACGAUGCAUAGCCGAGUUGAGAGACUGAUCGGCCACAUUGGGACUGAGACACGGCCCAAACUCCUACGGGAGGCAGCAGUAGGGAAUCUUCCACAAUGGACGCAAGUCUGAUGGAGCAACGCCGCGUGAGUGAAGAAGGUUUUCGGAUCGUAAAGCUCUGUUGUUGGUGAAGAAGGAUAGAGGUAGUAACUGGCCUUUAUUUGACGGUAAUCAACCAGAAAGUCACGGCUAACUACGUGCCAGCAGCCGCGGUAAUACGUAGGUGGCAAGCGUUGUCCGGAUUUAUUGGGCGUAAAGCGAGCGCAGGCGGAAAAAUAAGUCUAAUGUGAAAGCCCUCGGCUUAACCGAGGAACUGCAUCGGAAACUGUUUUUCUUGAGUGCAGAAGGGGAGAGUGGAACUCCAUGUGUAGCGGUGGAAUGCGUAGAUAUAUGGAAGAACACCAGUGGCGAAGGCGGCUCUCUGGUCUGCAACUGACGCUGAGGCUCGAAAGCAUGGGUAGCGAACAGGAUUAGAUACCCUGGUAGUCCAUGCCGUAAACGAUGAGUGCUAAGUGUUGGGAGGUUUCCGCCUCUCAGUGCUGCAGCUAACGCAUUAAGCAC